RNAcentral lists this long non-coding RNA (271 nucleotides) under Panax ginseng (ginseng). RNAcentral describes it as "long non-coding RNA (PGIN_LNC004280)". The record is from RNAcentral. Lineage: Eukaryota; Viridiplantae; Streptophyta; Magnoliopsida; Apiales; Araliaceae.
AAAAAUAAGAGUUUCACCCCUUGGAGAACAUAUGCUCAUUUCCUUCCUCUAAAUCUAUAUUCUAAUACACAAGAUACUUAGUCCUACACAUGAGACAUGUAGAACUUGGGUACUUUGAGUAUUAGAUCAUAACCCCAAUAUAUGAUGAGGUAAAAAUCAAAAAUAGAAGGAGAAUAAGAAAAAGAAUAGAAGAGAACCUCACCUAGUUUUCUUUGUUAUCCUUCUUGUUCUUCCAAAGUAGGUUAUGAAACUAGGAUGCAUGCACAAUAAC